ACCUGGCUGGCUCAGUCGGUAGAGCAUGUGACUCUUGAUCUCCAGGUUGUGAGUGCAAGCCCCACAUUGGGUG
This is a non-coding RNA of Canis lupus familiaris (dog), 73 nucleotides long. The record is from Rfam. Lineage: Eukaryota; Metazoa; Chordata; Mammalia; Carnivora; Canidae.